This 393-nucleotide ribosomal RNA is filed under the name uncultured bacterium. Its description in RNAcentral is "partial 16S ribosomal RNA". It matches the Rfam family "Bacterial small subunit ribosomal RNA", at positions 523 to 916 of the family's 1533-position model. The record is from RNAcentral.
AUACGUAGGUGGCAAGCGUUGUCCGGAAUUACUGGGUGUAAAGGGUGCGUAGGCGGGGAUGCAAGUCAGAUGUGAAAUCUAUCGGCUCAACUGGUAAACUGCAUUUGAAACUGCAUUUCUUGAGUGGUGGAGAGGUAAGCGGAAUUCCUAGUGUAGCGGUGAAAUGCGUAGAUAUUAGGAGGAACACCAGUGGCGAAGGCGACUUCCUGGCACAAUACUGACGCUCAUGGGCGAAAGCUAGGGGAGCGAACGGGAUUAGAUACCCCGGUAGUCCUAGCCGUAAACGAUGGAUACUAGGUGUGGGUGUCGCAGGGCAUCCGUGCCGCAGCUAACGCGUUAAGUAUCCCGCCUGGGGACUACGGUCGCAAGACUGAAACUCAAAUGAAUUGGCGG